AAAAUCCAUGAUCCUAUGCUGCCGAGAAAAGCCUCUAGCGAGCUGGUACAUGGCCCGUACCCCAAACCGACACAGGUGGUCAGGUAGAGAAUACUAAGGCGAUCGAGAGAACUGUGGUUAAGGAACUCGGCAAAAUGCCCCCGUAACUUCGGGAGAAGGGGGACCAGUCCUGGUGACGACAUUUACUGUCUGAGCUGGGGUUGGUCGCAGAGACCAGAGAGAAGCGACUGUUUACUAAAAACACAGGUCCGUGCGAAGUCGUAAGACGAUGUAUACGGACUGACGCCUGCCCGGUGCUGGAAGGUUAAGAGGACCGGUCAGCCACUUCGGUGGCGAAGCUGAGAAUUUAAGCCCCAGUAAACGGCGGUGGUAACUAUAACCAUCCUAAGGUAGCGAAAUUCCUUGUCGGGUAAGUUCCGACCUGCACGAAUGGCGUAACGACUUCUCUGCUGUCUCAACCACAGACUCGGCGAAAUUGCAGUACGAGUAAAGAUGCUCGUUACGCGCGGCAGGACGAAAAGACCCCGGGACCUUCACUAUAGCUUGGUAUUGGUGUUCGGUUCGGUUUGUGUAGGAUAGGUGGGAGACUGUGAAACUCGCACGCCAGUGUGGGUGGAGUCAUUGUUGAAAUACCACUCUGACCGUAUUGGACAUCUAACCUCGGACCAUGAUCUGGUUCAGGGACAGUGCCUGGUGGGUAGUUUAACUGGGGCGGUUGCCUCCUAAAAAGUAACGGAGGCGCCCAAAGGUUCCCUCAGCCUGGUUGGCAAUCAGGUGUUGAGUGUAAGUGCACAAGGGAGCUUGACUGUGAGACGUACAUGUCGAGCAGGGACGAAAGUCGGGACUAGUGAUCCGGCACCGGCAAGUGGAAGCGGUGUCGCUCAACGGAUAAAAGGUACCCCGGGGAUAACAGGCUGAUCUUCCCCAAGAGUCCAUAUCGACGGGAUGGUUUGGCACCUCGAUGUCGGCUCGUCGCAUCCUGGGGCUGGAGUAGGUCCCAAGGGUUGGGCUGUUCGCCCAUUAAAGCGGCACGUGAGCUGGGUUUAGAACGUCGUGAGACAGUUCGGUCUCUAUCCGCCGCGCGCGUAAGGAACUUGAGGAAACCUGUCCCUAGUACGAGAGGACCGGGACGGACGAACCUCUGGUGUGCCAGUUGUUCCACCAGGAGCACCACUGGUUAGCUACGUUCGGAAGGGAUAACCGCUGAAAGCAUCUAAGCGGGAAGCCUGUUCCAAGAUGAGGUUUCUCACCACCUAGCGUGGUUAAGGCCCCCCACAGACCAUGGGGUUGAUAGGCCAGAACUGUAAGCACAGCAAUGUGUUCAGGUGACUGGUACUAAUCGGCCGAGGACUUAC
RNAcentral lists this ribosomal RNA (1355 nucleotides) under metagenome. RNAcentral's name for it is "bacterial LSU rRNA". It matches the Rfam family "Bacterial large subunit ribosomal RNA", at positions 1587 to 2925 of the family's 2925-position model. The record is from RNAcentral.